This 527-nucleotide ribosomal RNA is filed under the name uncultured bacterium. RNAcentral describes it as "bacterial SSU rRNA". It matches the Rfam family "Bacterial small subunit ribosomal RNA", at positions 20 to 518 of the family's 1533-position model. The record is from RNAcentral.
UGGCUCAGGACGAACGGCUGGCGGCGUGCCUAAUACAUGCAAGUCGAACGGUCUUUCUAUGGAAGCUUGCUUCCACUGAGAAGAUAGUGGCGAACGGGUGAGUAACACGUGGGUAACCUGCCCAUAAGAGGGGGGAUAACAUCCGGAAACGGGUGCUAAUACCGCAUAGUUUUCUUGAUCGCAUGAUUGAGAAAGGAAAGACGGCCUUUGUGCUGUCGCUUAUGGAUGGACCCGCGGCGUAUUAGUUAGUUGGUGAGGUAACGGCUCACCAAGACGAUGAUACGUAGCCGACCUGAGAGGGUGAUCGGCCACAUUGGGACUGAGACACGGCCCAAACUCCUACGGGAGGCAGCAGUAGGGAAUCUUCCGCAAUGGACGAAAGUCUGACGGAGCAACGCCGCGUGAGUGAAGAAAGGUUUUCGGAUCGUAAAACUCUGUUGUCAGAGAAGAACAAGUUGGAGAGUAACUGCUCCAGCCUUGACGGUAUCUGACCAGAAAGCCACGGCUAACUACGUGCCAGCCGCCGC